GAUGAACGCUGGCGGCGUGCUUAACACAUGCAAGUCGAACGAAGCAUUUAAGACAGAUUACUUCGGUUUGAAGUCUUUUAUGACUGAGUGGCGGACGGGUGAGUAACGCGUGGGUAACCUGCCUCAUACAGGGGGAUAGCAGCUGGAAACGGCUGGUAAUACCGCAUAAGCGCACAGUACCACAUGGUACAGUGUGAAAAACUCCGGUGGUAUGAGAUGGACCCGCGUCUGAUUAGCUUGUUGGCGGGGUAACGGCCCACCAAGGCGACGAUCAGUAGCCGACCUGAGAGGGUGACCGGCCACAUUGGGACUGAGACACGGCCCAGACUCCUACGGGAGGCAGCAGUGGGGAAUAUUGCACAAUGGAGGCAACUCUGAUGCAGCGACGCCGCGUGAGUGAAGAAGUAGUUCGCUAUGUAAAGCUCUAUCAGCAGGGAAGAUAGUGACGGUACCUGACUAAGAAGCUCCGGCUAAAUACGUG
RNAcentral lists this ribosomal RNA (481 nucleotides) under uncultured bacterium. RNAcentral describes it as "partial 16S ribosomal RNA". It matches the Rfam family "Bacterial small subunit ribosomal RNA", at positions 28 to 507 of the family's 1533-position model. The record is from RNAcentral.